This 408-nucleotide ribosomal RNA is filed under the name uncultured prokaryote. RNAcentral describes it as "bacterial SSU rRNA". It matches the Rfam family "Bacterial small subunit ribosomal RNA", at positions 355 to 774 of the family's 1533-position model. The record is from RNAcentral.
UCGAGAAUCUUCGGCAAUGGGCGAAAGCCUGACCGAGCGACGCCGCGUGCGGGAUGAAGGCCUUCGGGUUGUAAACCGCUUUGGUCCGAGAGAAAGGGCAACUUGAUCGAUCGGAGAAACAAGGACGGGCUAAGUUCGUGCCAGCAGCCGCGGUAAGACGAACCGUCCAAACGUUAUUCGGAAUCACUGGGCUUAAAGGGCGCGUAGGCGGCCGAGCGGGUCGCGGGUGAAAUCCUCCAGCUUAACUGGAGAACUGCCCUCGAUACCACUGCGGCUCGAGGAAGGAAGGGGUCAUGGGAACUGUCGGUGGAGCGGUGAAAUGCGUUGAUAUCGACAGGAACGCCUGUGGCGAAAGCGCAUGACUGGUCCUUUUCUGACGCUGAGGCGCGAAAGCCAGGGGAGCAAACG